Molecule: long non-coding RNA, 655 nt
Filed under: Olea europaea subsp. europaea
Lineage: Eukaryota; Viridiplantae; Streptophyta; Magnoliopsida; Lamiales; Oleaceae
Source: RNAcentral
UUCUGUGAAAAAACCGGGCCGGUUAGCUUCAGGCAACACACCUUCAUUCCCCAACAUAAAAACAACUGUUGACAUGCUUGGCCUAUCCCCUGGACAUUUUUGCAUGCAUAGCAGACCCACAUGAAUUGAUCUUAGCGCUUCGUUCAAGUAUUGUGAAUCAGCUGGACAAGCGUCUACUAGUUCCUUUGACCUUCCUUCUUUGUAAAGUAUCCAAGCCUGUAUCAGUUGGAUUAUGCUAUGAGGAUCUUGAUUUAUAAAACUAUUAAUGAUAGUAAUUACAAGCGCUGUACAUUUUUUUUCACUUACAACACACAUCAAUACAUGUAAGACAAAAAUACUUACAUGUCCAAGAAGGUUGAGAUGGUGAUCACUAUGAGAAAAUCCCCAAUUUUUCUUUCCACUCACAAUUUCUAGCACUAAAACACCGAAACUAAAUACAUCUGAUUUUAAAGAGAAUAUGCCUUCCACUACAUAUUCUGGCGACAUGUAACCGUUGCAUGAAAACGUAAACAAGAAAUAAUGUCAUAAGUAAUGGAAAUGCAUUAGAUAUAUUGUCUCAUAGAGAUUAAUUCUUACUGUGUUCCCACAACCCGACCAGUCUUAGCUCCAGUCUCAUUCCCACUAAAACUUCUAGCCAAGCCAAAAUCUGAUAUCC